GAUGAACGCUGGCGGCGUGCCUAAUACAUGCAAGUCGAGCGAACGGACGAGAAGCUUGCUUCUCUGAUGUUAGCGGCGGACGGGUGAGUAACACGUGGAUAACCUACCUAUAAGGCUGGGAUAACUUCGGGAAACCGGAGCUAAUACCGGAUAAUAUUUUGAACCGCAUGGUUCAAAAGUGAAAGACGGUCUUGCUGUCACUUAUAGAUGGAUCCGCGCUGCAUUAGCUAGUUGGUAAGGUAACGGCUUACCAAGGCAACGAUGCAUAGCCGACCUGAGAGGGUGAUCGGCCACACUGGAACUGAGACACGGUCCAGACUCCUACGGGAGGCAGAAGUAGGGAAUCUUCCGCAAUGGGCGAAAGCCUGACGGAGCAACGCCGCGUGAGUGAUGAAGGUCUUCGGAUCGUAAAACUCUGUUAUUAGGGAAGAACAUAUGUGUAAGUAACUGUGCACAUCUUGACGGUACCUAAUCAGAAAGCCACGGCUAACUACGUG
Molecule: ribosomal RNA, 497 nt
Filed under: uncultured bacterium
Lineage: Bacteria
Description: partial 16S ribosomal RNA
Rfam family: Bacterial small subunit ribosomal RNA
Source: RNAcentral